CCCCUUCGGGGGGUACACGAGUGGCGCACGGGUGAGUAACACGUGGGUAAUCUACCUUCAGGUCUGGGACAACUCCGGGAAACUGGAGCUAAUACCGGAUGAGACCACGAGGUCCUCGGACUUCGCGGGAAAAGAUGGCCUCUCCUUGGAAGCUAUCGCCUGCCGAUGAGCCCGCGCCCCAUUAGCUAGUUGGUGAGGUAACGGCUCACCAAGGCGACGAUGGGUAGCUGGUCUGAGAGGACGACCAGCCACACUGGAACUGAGACACGGUCCAGACUCCUACGGGAGGCAGCAGUCGGGAAUCUUGGGCAAUGGGCGAAAGCCUGACCCAGCAACGCCGCGUGAGGGAUGAAGGCCCUCGGGUCGUAAACCUCUGUCGGAAGGGAAGAACGACCGCAAGGUGAAUAAUCUUGGGGUCUGACGGUACCUUCAAAGGAAGCGCCGGCUAACUCCGUGCCAGCAGCCGCGGUAAUACGGAGGGCGCAAGCGUUGUUCGGAAUCAUUGGGCGUAAAGCGCGUGUAGGCGGCUUGGCAAGUCGGGUGUGAAAUCCCGGGGCUCAACCCCGGAACUGCAUUCGAUACUGCCUGGCUAGAGUCCCGGAGAGGAGGGCGGAAUUCCCGGUGUAGAGGUGAAAUUCGUAGAUAUCGGGAGGAACACCAGUGGCGAAGGCGGCCCUCUGGACGGUGACUGACGCUGAGAUGCGAAAGCGUGGGGAGCAAACAGGA
RNAcentral lists this ribosomal RNA (726 nucleotides) under uncultured Pseudomonadota bacterium. Its description in RNAcentral is "bacterial SSU rRNA". It matches the Rfam family "Bacterial small subunit ribosomal RNA", at positions 75 to 777 of the family's 1533-position model. Lineage: Bacteria; Pseudomonadati; Pseudomonadota. The record is from RNAcentral.